CACAGAAGGGCAACCGAGACAGAGCCGUGGAGGGUGUGGCCGGUGUGGGCACCAGCCACAGGGGCCAAGGUUCCUUGAAAAUGAAAACACAGUGCCUCACAAUCUGCAUGUCACUUUCUUCUUCAUACAGUCCUGCAACCUGGACCUUCCUCCAUUCAUCAGGCCUGCACUGAGCAUGUGGAUACGAGGCCUCACGCCAGAGGAAGGAAAUCCAGCCCCGGAGCGAUGCAGCUAAUGAAGGGGCCUGUGAGGACAGAAGAAGAAGGGGCAGACAGACCACUGUCAAGGGCAAUAAAAGAGUCUGCUCUGUUGGACACCCUGGUGAACACGGGACGAAAGCACGUCCAAAGUCUGGCUCUGAUGACCUGGAGCUCCAGGAAGAAAUGGGGAUCUGAGGCCACGGAAGGGUCGGUCCUCCUCUCCCCUACCUGCUGAGAACCGUCCUCCCGCCGCCGCAGCCACCACCUGGCCUGGAUUUGCUCCGUUGGCUCCAAUUUAAACCAUCCCACUCUGUUUCUUUGCAUUGGGAGGUGGUACACGGUCAAGGUUAAGAGUAAGGAUUCU
This 564-nucleotide long non-coding RNA is filed under the name Capra hircus (goat). Its description in RNAcentral is "lncRNA (ENSCHIG00000006188.1)". Lineage: Eukaryota; Metazoa; Chordata; Mammalia; Artiodactyla; Bovidae. The record is from RNAcentral.